GGCCGCCUGGCGAAAUGGCAUCGCGUCUGACUACGAUCGUGUAUAUUAAAGGUGCGAGGUAAUCAGGAGAUUGCAGGUUCGACCCCUGCGGUGGUCA
Molecule: transfer RNA, 97 nt
Organism: Punctularia strigosozonata HHB-11173 SS5
Lineage: Eukaryota; Fungi; Basidiomycota; Agaricomycetes; Corticiales; Punctulariaceae
Rfam family: tRNA
About the family: Transfer RNA (tRNA) molecules are approximately 80 nucleotides in length. Their secondary structure includes four short double-helical elements and three loops (D, anti-codon, and T loops).
Source: Rfam